AUUGAACGCUGGCGGCAUGCCUUACACAUGCAAGUCGAACGGUAACGGGCCUCUUGGUGCCGACGAGAGGCGCACGCGUGAGUAUUACACCUGGACAUGUCCGAGCGAGGGGGAUAACAAGUCGGAAGCUGUGCUAUAAUACCACACGAUUCCCGGGGGAGAGCGGGGGAGCUCAUCGCAUCUCACGCACUGAGCGGAGGCUAGCUCAGAUUAGCUAGUUGGUGGGGUAAAGGCCUACCAAGGCGACGAUCUGUAGCUGGUCUGAGAGGAUGAUCAGUCACACUGGAACUGAGACACGGUCCAGACUCCUACGGGAGGCAGCAGUGGGGAAUUUUGGACAAUGGGCGCAAGCCUGAUCCAGCCAUGCCGCGUGUAUGAAGAAGGCCUUCGGAUUGUAAACUGCUUUUGGUCGGGAGGAAAAGCAUUAUGUUAAUACAGGGGUGUCAUGACGGUACCGUAAGAAUAAGCACCGGCUAACUACGUG
This 484-nucleotide ribosomal RNA is filed under the name uncultured bacterium. RNAcentral describes it as "partial 16S ribosomal RNA". It matches the Rfam family "Bacterial small subunit ribosomal RNA", at positions 30 to 507 of the family's 1533-position model. The record is from RNAcentral.